GACGAGCCACCCAAACGUUAUUCGGAAUUACUGGGCGUAAAGCGUGCGCAGGCGGUUAUGCAAGACAGAUGUGAAAUCCCCGGGCUCAACCUGGGAACUGCAUUUGUGACUGCAUGGCUAGAGUUCGGCAGGGGAGACUGGAAUUCCUGGUGUAGCGGUGAAAUGCGCAGAUAUCAGGAGGAACACCGGUGGCGAAGGCGGUCUCCUGGGCCGAGGGCCGACGCUGAGGCGCGAGAGCGUGGGGAGCGAACCGG
RNAcentral lists this ribosomal RNA (254 nucleotides) under uncultured bacterium. Its description in RNAcentral is "partial 16S ribosomal RNA". It matches the Rfam family "Bacterial small subunit ribosomal RNA", at positions 524 to 776 of the family's 1533-position model. The record is from RNAcentral.